GUAGGUGGCAAGCGUUGUCCGGAAUUAUUGGGCGUAAAGCGCGCGCAGGUGGUUCUUUAAGUCUGAUGUGAAAGCCCCCGGCUCAACCGGGGAGGGUCAUUGGAAACUGGGGAACUUGAGUGCAGGAGAGGAAAGUGGAAUUCCACGUGUAGCGGUGAAAUGCGUAGAUAUGUGGAGGAACACCAGUGGCAAAGGCGACUUUCUGGCCUGUAACUGACACUGAGGCGCGAAAGCGUGGGGAGCAAACAGGGAUUAGAUACCCUGGUAGUCCACGCCGUAAACGAUGAGUGCUAAGUGUUGGGGGGGUUUCCCGCCCCUCAGUGCUGCAGCUAACGCAUUAAGCACUCCGCCUGGGGAUACGGCCGCAAGACUG
RNAcentral lists this ribosomal RNA (373 nucleotides) under uncultured organism. RNAcentral's name for it is "partial 16S ribosomal RNA". It matches the Rfam family "Bacterial small subunit ribosomal RNA", at positions 527 to 896 of the family's 1533-position model. The record is from RNAcentral.